AAUAAAAUGGCUGAGGGUAACAAGCGAUAAAUUGUAAAUUUAUUUACGAGAAAUAUUCUCUUUUAUUA
Molecule: transfer RNA, 68 nt
Filed under: Amplypterus panopus
Lineage: Eukaryota; Metazoa; Arthropoda; Insecta; Lepidoptera; Sphingidae
Description: tRNA-Tyr
Rfam family: tRNA
About the family: Transfer RNA (tRNA) molecules are approximately 80 nucleotides in length. Their secondary structure includes four short double-helical elements and three loops (D, anti-codon, and T loops).
Source: RNAcentral